RNAcentral lists this long non-coding RNA (3254 nucleotides) under Zea mays. RNAcentral describes it as "long non-coding RNA (ZMAY_LNC005274)". The record is from RNAcentral. Lineage: Eukaryota; Viridiplantae; Streptophyta; Magnoliopsida; Poales; Poaceae.
GCAAAUUAAAUUAUAUUCAGUAAUAUGCAUGCAUGCAUGAUACCUGCAGCAAGGUUGCCAGCUUCUCUUAGUUUAUCCAGCCUGCAGAUCAGAUUAUCAUGAAGAAAAUAUAUACCAUCUAUAUAUUUCAGGAGGAAGGAUGGGUAGUAUGCAGGGUGUUCAAAAAGCGACUACCAACAACAAGAAGAGAAUCUGACCAUGAUGCACCAUGCUGGUAUGUCGAUGAAGAUGGAACCUUCAUGCAUGACCUUAACUCCCCCAUGGGUGGACUGCCACCACACCACAGCAUCGCACAGCUGCACGAACAACACCUCCAGAUGCUCAACAACAGCUACAAGAGGCGGGAACUCAAGCUGCAAUUCCAGAUGCCAAGCCAUCAUAUCCUCAAUGCCGCCGCCGCCAUUCCUCACGAGCUAGAGCCCCCAUCCUUCCAUUCUCUUUUGGUCUCACCAGACCAUCAUCAAGCUGCUAAAGCGCACCACCGUGCUGUUCAGCUCAUGGACGAGCAUGCAGCCGACCAGGUCACUGAUUGGAGAGUUCUGGACAAGUUUGUUGCAUCUCAGCUUAGUCACGACGAUGCGGCCAAGGGUGUCGAUUAUACUGAUGAAGGAGAUAUCCUUCAGAUCAAUGAGAAGCAAGCUACCGAGUAUGCAUCAACCUCAACAUCCAGCAGCCAAGUUGAUCCAUGGAAGUGACGGUGAUCAUGAAAUUAAUCAAAAAUACUGCCUCCUCGUAUAAAAUAUUAUAUUAAGAGCUACAAUAACGAUGAUCGGAUCAAUUGGGACAUAUAAGUAAUUUGAUCUCUACAUAGUACGUGGCGUGUAAAUGAGACUACAUACAUAUUGAGUUGUGUAUUGGUGUACUACUUAUUAUUAUAUCCCUUCAGGAUGUUGUACUAAUAAUAUACUUAGCAUAUGCAUGCACACCGCGUUUCUAUAUGAAUAAUAAAGUCAUGGACAACUUGGAAACUUCAUGAAUCAUGGUUUGUAAUAGGUUUUCAGUUAUUAUAUAUGUGAUAGUGAGCUGUGGGUCUAUCUGCAAAUGAACUAGAUAGCCAUAUUUUGAUAUUUCACUAUAUAUAUGGGACCUUCAGCAGCACAUUACAUAUUUUCUCUAAGUGGAUACUAUCAGGACAAGUUACAGAUAAUAUGGAAUUUCUAAACCGAUAUGCUCAAACAUGCAUUUAGAUCACUUAUGCAGGAGGAUGCCAUAACCAUAACCAAUAAAUCAUAUUUUAGUUUAAUUUGCUAAGCAAAACCGUAUGCAGAACACGGAUUUAUAUAUCUCAACUUUUUUGGAAGAAUCAAAGUUAUAUGAGUUGUCACAACUCAGCUAUAUGUGAAUAUGUCACAACUCGCCUAUAUUAUAUACCGGCCGUUUUUUUUCUAUAAAUGCAUAAAAAACAUUUUCUAAAUACACAUAACCAAAUACAUAAGAUGUUCAUAUCCAUAUACCACUAUAUAUCUCGGUCCUCCUCGGACCUGUACAGUGUGUUUUCUAAACUAUCUCCUUUUAUUGAUUAGGCAAAGCUCCUGCCAUUUCUUUCAAAAAAAUAUAUCACUAUAUAUUUCUAACACUUUAAAACAUUUUCUAAAUAAAAUUUGGAGAAAAAAACUGCAAAUAGAAAUAUCAGCAACUCUACAUAGAAAAAGAUGUGGGGGGUAUAUAAGGGACAUAUGUGUACGUUUGUCUGUUGGACUUCAUGCAUAAAAUCUUUGUAGAUCGAGCCAGAAUUGAAAUGACUAAUACUAUAUAUGUGAUCAGAAAGAUGAGCCAUCGUUCUCUGUAUGCAGGGAUCAGCUAGCUCAUUAAGUAGUAAUCUUCUUUCCUUCUACGUUACUCUCGGAAAAAGAAACAAAAAGAAAAUAGCUGUAGAGUACAUGCCUAAUUCUUCAUUUCUAGAAACAAGGGCAAAGCAUUGGUACAUUUUUGUUUUGUUUCCUUAGAUGAGCAACUGUGCAAACAGCUAAUUUGCUCAAAUAAAAUGCAGAAUUCAGGGAUUCAAGCAGGUCAGCUAUGGGUUACUGUUUCUGAGUGCAUAGGCUAUACACGUACGUAUUACUGGGAGCAUAAAAAUCCAUCCAUUAUCUACAAUCUUAAUGGGCUGGGCAAUGAAUUUCAGGCCAGGAUAUUAGUGGCACCGUUAUUUUGACUUAUUAGAUAGCACAGUACUUAUUGUAUCACAAGUAAUACCAAUAAUGGUCACAUCAAUAAGAAAUCCUAGCACAAAUCAAACUCAAUCACCUGGUGUGCCCUCGCCCAGUGUAAAUGAGCAAUGCAAAUUAGGACGUACGAGAGCCUAAUUGAUAAGAGGCAGAACUCGACAGCAGGAAUAUCAUAGUAAGCAACUAAUAACAGGUAUUUCUAGAGUGGGAUGUACGCAUUACAUUUGUACUAGAAAUUAAGAUAUAAGAUUAGCUCACAUGUGAUUCCAAGUAAACAAGAAAACGAAACAGUAUGGAGAAUAUCAAAUAAUAAAGGGUACUGCGCAUCGAAAACUUGUUCAGAUCGAUCAUCAUGAACAUAACAGGCCAAAGAAAGAAAACCAACUAAAGCUCGGCUUGAUCAUGCAUAUACAGAGUUAUUAGCACAUUCAAUGUGUGCAUCGCUACAAGUAUGCACUCCACUAGCCUAUUUGCUCUUAGCUUUCGAUCAUUAACUUAUGUAAUGAAAUAUUUAGGAAAAGUAAUCUGUCUAACUGUUUAAGAAAAAAAAGGAGCAGCUAGCUCCUCUCUCACGAGUCUUGAAACGAUAAGAACAAGCUCAGAAGCCAAGGCAUAUCAUUUAUUUUUGAAGUGACAUAUAUAUAUUUGCGUGUGUAGCAUAUAUCGAUUGGCUAUAAUGAGUUUGACCAGCUAACAGUAAAGAAAUUUCUAUCUAGAGAAGAGAUAGAAAGAAAAAUGACAAGUCCACAAAUACUACGGUAACUAAUGACAUGAAGGAAAGGUUGAUAACAGUAACAUAACUCACCUACCACAGAUGGCCCAGGGGUUACAUGAGAGAAUUGGAAGGGCCAGAUAGCGACAUCACCUUGAAGGGCAAUGCUUCCUGAACCGUUGCUUUAAGAGAUCAAAUCAGAUAGCAAGCAUGCAUAUAUGCAUAGGAGCAGCAAAGAAAGACAUGCAUGCAUGCCUCCCACCAACUGAUCGAGCUUCCGGCUUAUAUAGUGCAAGAGCCCCACAUACACCUGAGCGCAAGCCGGCCAUGCAGUGCGUGCAUGCAGUCCACACACCCUUUGAAGCAAUGCAAGCAUC